UGAGGUUAAUAGGUUUGAGGUGGAAGCGUGGCGACACGUGGAGCUGACAAAUACUAAUCGAUCGAGGACUUAACUAACUU
Molecule: ribosomal RNA, 80 nt
Filed under: Bacilli bacterium
Lineage: Bacteria; Bacillati; Bacillota; Bacilli
Description: partial 23S ribosomal RNA
Source: RNAcentral